GCCGGGCGCGGUGGCUCAUGCCUGUAAUCCCAGCACUUUGGGAGGCCGAGGCAGGUGGAUCACCUGAGGUCAGGAGUUCAAGACCAGCCUGGCCAACAUGGUGAAACCCUGUCUCUA
Unclassified non-coding RNA from Pongo abelii (Sumatran orangutan), 117 nucleotides. It matches the Rfam family "Metazoan signal recognition particle RNA". Rfam says of the family: The signal recognition particle (SRP) is a universally conserved ribonucleoprotein. It is involved in the co-translational targeting of proteins to membranes. The eukaryotic SRP consists of a 300-nucleotide 7S RNA and six proteins: SRPs 72, 68, 54, 19, 14, and 9. The record is from Ensembl. Lineage: Eukaryota; Metazoa; Chordata; Mammalia; Primates; Hominidae.